Megalops cyprinoides (Indo-Pacific tarpon) is the source of this 317-nucleotide small nucleolar RNA. The record is from RefSeq and is a predicted model, not a curated record. Lineage: Eukaryota; Metazoa; Chordata; Actinopteri; Elopiformes; Megalopidae.
GCCCAGUGAUGAUACCAAGGCAAAUAUGAGUUGAUUGAUCAAGAGGCUGGUGUUCUGGCCUCCUGAUUGAUGGGUAAUCUUGGUAGGGUAGUGGAGAAUGGCUGCCCUGCUGUAAGGGCCCACCCACAGUAAAGCAGCACCAUCCCUAACACUCCCUGUAGAGACAUGGAGGAGGAGGUGAUCAGGUGCUAACAGAGUGAAUGUGCUGUCUGUCUGUUGUGAGUCUGUAGUAUGUGUGUGUCUGUGUCAGGAGGCUGGGAACGCCUGACUCUGUCUGUCAAUCUGCUGUGAGCGGCUUCUUUGGUAAUCUGAGGGCA